Molecule: ribosomal RNA, 1341 nt
Filed under: Triticum aestivum (bread wheat)
Lineage: Eukaryota; Viridiplantae; Streptophyta; Magnoliopsida; Poales; Poaceae
Description: partial small subunit ribosomal RNA
Source: RNAcentral
AUGAGCACGCAGCCUCAGCAAGGUAUGAACAUCAACACCCCACCUACCCAAUUAGCGUCGGCUGUCGUGCUGGGUGAUAGCGGAGGGGGUGAGGAAAAGGCUCCAUUAGUCGCUGGUGACGUCGCCAUAGAUGAGGAUGAGGAUGACGAUGACACUCAACAGUAUUUCAAUACUGGCGCCUACUUAGGGUUUGAGCGUCAUGAGUCGGUGCCUGAAUUGCCGCCUCAGCAGCCUCCGGUAGUAAAGAAGUCUAGGAAGAGACCGAGGAAAGGCAACAACAAAGCUGCUUCUAUGAUCCAGCCACCUCAGCAGCCUCGGGUUCAAGACCGUAUAGAUAUCCCCGGUGCGGCAAAAUGGCAUAUCCCCGGUCAACCAAUCCUACCUAAAGAUUUAAGGAGACUUCAUGACGAUGUGCUGCGGAUAGAGAAAGGCAUCAUCGCCUCAAAAAAUCCAGGAUACCCACUCUACGUGGUUAACGUGCCGCGGCAAAGUUCGUACGUCCACACAUGCGCCGCGGACAAGUUCUUCCUUCGAUUCGAUUACAUCUUCGACAUGUUUCACUUGAAGAAGCUGGAUUUUACGUUUGUCCGCCUUUAUGCCUUGUACAUGAACUACCUCAUCGGGGUUGAGCAGAUACCUCAUAUCCGUGUCGCUGACCCGUACUUCAUGCACGAGGGCUUCUUGGGAGUCUGCGCAGAGCACCGUGAAUACGCGAGGGAAUACAUCGCCAAUUUCAUGCUCGCCAAUAAGGACAAGGAGCGGCGGCGCGCCGUCCUCAUCAUCCUCUACCCCCGAUACUCCCACGCUCUUUACUUGGAAUCGUCGAAGAACAUUAACAAAAUGGAUUACACCCACAUCAAGUCUGUUCUCGGCAGUGCUAUGUUUUACUACGGCGCACGGGGUGGAGAGGUCAAGGACAAGAAGAAAAGGGACGACAGGCCCGCCUUCGGCCAUAAGACCGACUUCUGCUGCAUCCAGCAACCGAGUGAUUCUCUUAAUGAUGGAUUCUAUGUCCUACACCACAUGCUGAAGUACAGACGGGAUCACCAGAACCUUCGCAUGUCACCUAGAUCCGGCGAUGCCCAUAUUCUGCAAUGGGCAAAGAACUUAGGAGAUAUCGAGGAUCAUCGACUUCGAGCUGAGUUCUAUCACAUCCAGCGCGAACUUGCCCAAAUCAUCAUGAAGGAGGUCGUCGGAAAAACAGGGAUGUUCUACGAAGAAGGACAAAUGUCGCGGGAAGACGUCCGAACACGCGUAGCCGCUCAGCGUCUCGACCUGAAGCCUUUCACUAAGCUCGGGGACUAUCUCCCUGACUUGGAUGGAUGGCAUGACAUGGAGUGA